CAGAUGGAAAGAUGCAGGAUGUCUUCAACCCACAGAGCAAGGACAUUAAGAAUCCUCCCUCUUCCCAUCCCAGUCUAUUCCAGAAACACUCCAAACAGAGGUUCCAGAAGCAUCUCCCAUAGAAGGGAAUCACUGCCUGAAGUAGCACAGCUCCUCCCAGACCCAGACAUACCCACCUUAGGCUGUGCUCGCCGAGGAAAGGCCACCUUGGGAUCAAUCUGAAAGAGAACGGAGAGAUGCCUGUCUACGGGAGGCAUGGAAUCCAGACUUUGGAAGCCUUGUGGAUGGAAAUACUCUGCUUCAAGGGUUUCAGUUACCCCCGGUCAAACAUGGGUCUGGAAGCAGACAAUCCUCCUUCUGACCAUCCUCAGAAGGUCAGUAGUAGCCUAACACUAGGUCACAAUGCCUACAUCAUGCACCUCACUUCAUCUGAUCACCUAGGCAUUUGAUCAUCUCCCAUCAUCACAAGAAGAAGGGUGAGUUUUGCUUUGUUUUUGUUUUUAAAGUAUUCUUUAUUUUUUUUUUUUUUUAAAGAUUUAUUUAUUUAUUUGAC
Long non-coding RNA from Mirounga angustirostris (Northern elephant seal), 553 nucleotides. RefSeq lists it as uncharacterized. The transcript is spliced from 3 exons. NCBI's taxonomy places the organism in Eukaryota, Metazoa, Chordata, Mammalia, Carnivora, Phocidae. The record is from RefSeq and is a predicted model, not a curated record.